CGCACCUUGCACCUUCUGGUAUUCCGGAAGGUACACCUGUUUGAGUGUCAUUAAAUUCUCAACCUCGCACCUUGCUCUUUUGGGCCCGUGUGAUGAGGAUGGACCUUGGAGGUGUGUCGGAUGCUUUCGGGCGGUCGACUCCUCUCAAAGACAUUAGCUGGGGACUAUAGUACAUGUCUCCUACGGUGUGAUAGCUAUCUACGCUGUGGGUUAGGCUUGGAAAUCUCUGCUUAUAGUCGUCUCUCUUUUGAGACUAGCCUGCUUGUGGGCUAAUAAUGACCAAUGUGACCUCAAAUCAGGUGGGACUACCCGCUGAACUUAA
This 322-nucleotide unclassified non-coding RNA is filed under the name Merismodes fasciculata. RNAcentral describes it as "partial contains 5.8S ribosomal RNA, internal transcribed spacer 2, and large subunit ribosomal RNA". The record is from RNAcentral. Lineage: Eukaryota; Fungi; Basidiomycota; Agaricomycetes; Agaricales; Niaceae.